UUCGUGAAAUGCUAUCUAAAAUGUACUUACUGCAAAAAAUAUUGGGGAAUUUGUGCUCUUUUAUUGAGAGAUUCUCCAGACCCUCUGGAGACAACCAGAGCCUUCCCAAGGAUGCCUUUACCUGACAGCGCCUUGGCUGAGCGCCUCCGGCACUGGGCGGGCAGCACAGGCAGCACAGGUACCACGGGCAGCACAGGUACCACAGGCAGCACAGGUACCACAGGCAGCACAGGUACCACAGGCACCACAGGCACCACAGGCACCACAGGUACCACAGGUACCACAGGCAGCACAGGCAGCACAGGCACCACAGGCAGCACAGGCAGCACAGGCAGCACAGGUACCACAGGCAGCACAGGCAGCACAGGCAGCACAGGUACCACAGGUAUCACAGGUACCACAGCUACCACGGGCACCACGCGCACCACAGGCACCACGGGCACCUACGUGGCCCUGAGCACUGGGCAAAGUCCCCACGCACACAGGGGCUGGGGCCAGGGCAUUUCCAGCACUUCUGCUCAUCCUGUCCUUGUGAAUACAGGAACAGUCUUCAAAGCAUUGUGUAAAAUGUGCAUUUUAUAUAAAUUAUGAAAACACUAUACAUGGUUUCAAAAAUUUUCCACACCAAAAUGAACUUAACUCUUCAUCAUAUUUUCCACUAACUUUCUGAAGUGCCUUAUACACAAAUAUGUUAGCAACAUAUUUUACUGUUACACACAUUAUAUAUUCAGUGACUGUGAUAAUAUAAUUAUAUGAUUAUUAGGAAACACACACAUAUAUACAAA
Molecule: non-coding RNA, 785 nt
Organism: Oryctolagus cuniculus (rabbit)
Lineage: Eukaryota; Metazoa; Chordata; Mammalia; Lagomorpha; Leporidae
Source: RefSeq, a predicted model, not a curated record